UAGGGAAUCUUCCGCAAUGGACGCAAGUCUGACGGAGCAACGCCGCGUGAGUGAAGAAGGACUUCGGUUCGUAAAACUCUGUUGUUAGAGAAGAACAGCGCAUAGAGUAACUGUUAUGCGUGUGACGUUAUCUAACCAGAAAGCCACCGCUAACUACGUGCCAGCAGCCGCGGUAAUACGUAGGUGGCAAGCGUUGUCCGGAUUUAUUGGGCGUAAAGCGAGCGCAGGCGGUCAAUUAAGUCUGAUGUGAAAGCCCCCGGCUCAACCGGGGAGGGUCAUUGGAAACUGGUUGACUUGAGUGCAGAAGAGGAGGGUGGAAUUCCAUGUGUAGCGGUGAAAUGCGUAGAUAUAUGGAGGAACACCAGUGGCGAAAGCGACUCUCUGGUCUGUAACUGACGCUGAGGCUCGAAAGCGUGGGUAGCAAACAGG
This 429-nucleotide ribosomal RNA is filed under the name Bacteroidota bacterium. RNAcentral's name for it is "Bacteroidetes bacterium partial 16S ribosomal RNA". It matches the Rfam family "Bacterial small subunit ribosomal RNA", at positions 355 to 776 of the family's 1533-position model. The record is from RNAcentral. Lineage: Bacteria; Pseudomonadati; Bacteroidota.